GAGGUGGCAAGCGUUGUUCGGAAUUACUGGGCGUAAAGGGCGCGUAGGUGGCCUUCUUAGUCAGACGUGAAAUCCCCGGGCUUAACUCGGGAACUGCGUCUGAUACUGGAAGGCUCGAGUUCGGGAGAGGAAUGUGGAAUUCCAGGUGUAGCGGUGAAAUGCGUAGAUAUCUGGAGGAACACCGGUGGCGAAGGCGGCAUUCUGGACCGAAACUGACACUGAGGCGCGAAAGCCAGGGGAGCAAACGGGAUUAGAUACCCCGGUAGUCCUGGCCCUAAACGAUGAGUGCUUGGUGUGGCGGGUAUCGAUCCCUGCCGUGCCGAAGCUAACGCAUUAAGCACUCCGCCUGGGGAGUACGGUCGCAAGGCUG
RNAcentral lists this ribosomal RNA (370 nucleotides) under uncultured organism. Its description in RNAcentral is "bacterial SSU rRNA". It matches the Rfam family "Bacterial small subunit ribosomal RNA", at positions 528 to 896 of the family's 1533-position model. The record is from RNAcentral.